This 1011-nucleotide ribosomal RNA is filed under the name Triticum aestivum (bread wheat). Its description in RNAcentral is "partial small subunit ribosomal RNA". Lineage: Eukaryota; Viridiplantae; Streptophyta; Magnoliopsida; Poales; Poaceae. The record is from RNAcentral.
AUGGAUGCUGACCAAAGCUUCUUGGACACCCUUGGUUUUGGUUACACGCAAACACAACCAGAAAGUCCAAUUGGAGAGCAGGCAACUCCAUCAACUCAGCAUCAAGCAACACCAUCAACGCAGCAACGUUCUGCAAUAAUAGAGAAAGGAAAAUCCAACAAGGGAAAAAAUUGGUCUAGUGAUGAGGACAAGGUUCUCAUAGCAGCAUGGGCAAAUACAAGUUUGGAUAUUGUUGGGACUGAUCAAAACCGAGAUGCUUAUUGGGCUAGAAUUUCAGAGUACUACAACACACACAAGGAAUCGUCAUUGGCGGAGCGUAAUCCUAAUGCAAUCAAUUGCCGUUACACAUUGAUUAACAGAGAGACCUCCAAAUUUUGUGGUUGCCUUCAGUACAUUUUAAAUAAGGAAGAAAGUGGAAGGACUAUAGCAGAAAAGACAAACGAUGCACACAUUCUGUUCAAGGAAAUGGAUUUAAAAAAACGGCCUUUCACAUUGAUGCAUUGCUAUAUAGAGUUUGCAAAGUAUCCAAAGUGGCAGGCAAGAGAACUUGAAACUUCUCUUAAGAAACAAAAGAAGACCGUUGAUGGAAGUCCAGGCACAGCCACCAAUGAUCCGUCCGAUGCAUCCUCGGUACGCACUGAUGCAACCUCGAUACACACUGAUGCUCUUGAACAUGAGAAAAGACCUGAUGGUGUUAAGAAGGACAAGAGAGGUAAAGCUGAUGAGAAUGCUUGCAAGCUGUCAUUAGAAACUGUGUGGGCAGCAAAGCAAGAGAAGGAUGAGAUCAAAGAAGCGGCAAGAAAUGCUCGCUAUGCACAUCAAUUUGAAUUGCGAAAAGAGGAGCUUGCACUCAGAAAGAAGGAGGAUGCACAAAACGAGAGGGAGGAUGCACGGAGACAGUUUGAAUUAGAUGAGAGGGUCAUGCUGAUCGACACUAGUGGUAUGACUGAUGUGCAAAAGCAGUUCUACCAAGAUAAGCAGAAUGAGAUCCUUGCUCGAGGCCUAGAGUAA